Long non-coding RNA from Pelobates fuscus (common spadefoot toad), 249 nucleotides. RefSeq lists it as uncharacterized. The transcript is spliced from 3 exons. The record is from RefSeq and is a predicted model, not a curated record. Lineage: Eukaryota; Metazoa; Chordata; Amphibia; Anura; Pelobatidae.
UUAGAAUAUCAGAGAAGGAGGGGAUAGAACUGAAAAACAUUUCAACACAGUGUUAUUUUCCCAGUAGCGAAGACAUAACAGAAUCACCUAAACUAACAUCAAAGAUAGAAAGUUCAAGUAAAGAAGAGAUUGUAUCAAAUGAAAAAUCCGUGGCUGAAUGUGAAAGAUUUCUGUAUAAAAGCCUCUGUUGCUGCUUUGGCGAAUACACCACCACCAAUGAAGACGACUCCAUUUCAAUUACAAAGUAAA